RNAcentral lists this long non-coding RNA (308 nucleotides) under Mytilus galloprovincialis (Mediterranean mussel). Lineage: Eukaryota; Metazoa; Mollusca; Bivalvia; Mytilida; Mytilidae. The record is from RNAcentral.
CUUUGUUUUUCCCCAUUAUACUCUUUUAUGUGAAUCUAAUCCUGACCUUCAGAAUUAGCAUCUAACAUAAUUAAACUGCUUGAAAUUCAGGCUGUGCAACUAAAUCCUACGUAUAAAGGCAGGUAUUCAUCAGAGGCAGGCGUACAAAAGUGACAGGAUAGAAAGUCAACAACUUGAGAGCACAAAAAUCGAACGACAAAGCGUCAUAUGACAAAAAGUCACAGUACAAAAAAAAUCACAGAACAAAAAGUCAUAGGACAAAAAGCCACAGGAUAGAAAGUCACAAAUGUGAUAGGAUAAAACGACGC